RNAcentral lists this ribosomal RNA (253 nucleotides) under uncultured bacterium. Its description in RNAcentral is "partial 16S ribosomal RNA". It matches the Rfam family "Bacterial small subunit ribosomal RNA", at positions 524 to 776 of the family's 1533-position model. The record is from RNAcentral.
UACGUAGGGGGCAAGCGUUGUUCGGAAUCACUGGGCUUAAAGGGCGCGUAGGCGGCUUGUCAAGUCCGGGGUGAAAUCCUCCAGCUUAACUGGAGAAGUGCCUUGGAUACUGGCGAGCUCGAGUGAGGUAGGGGCAGUUGGAACUUCCGGUGGAGCGGUGAAAUGCGUUGAUAUCGGAAGGAACGCCGGUGGCGAAAGCGAACUGCUGGACCUCUUCUGACGCUGAGGCGCGAAAGCUAGGGGAGCGAACGGG